GCAUAUCAAUAAGCGGAGGAAAAGAAACCAACAGGGAUUGCCUCAGUAACGGCGAGUGAAGCGGCAAAAGCUCAAAUUUGAAAUCUGGUACCUUCGGUGCCCGAGUUGUAAUUUGAAGAUUGUACUCUGGAGUUGGCCCUUGUCUAUGUUCCUUGGAACAGGACGUCACAGAGGGUGAGAAUCCCGUGCGAUGGGGUGUCCAAUUCCAUGUAGAGUGCUAUCGAAGAGUCGAGUUGUUUGGGAAUGCAGCUCUAAGUGGGUGGUAAAUUCCAUCUAAAGCUAAAUAUUGGCGAGAGACCGAUAGCGAACAAGUACAGCGAUGGAAAGAUGAAAAGAACUUUGAAAAGAGAGUGAAAAAGUACGUGAAAUUGUUGAAAGGGAAGGUUAUUAGAUCAGACUUGGUGUUUGGCGAUAUUCAGUCUCUUGUAGGCUGUUCACUCGUCUUUCACUGGGCCAGCAUCGGUUUGGAUGGCAGGAUAAUGGCUGUUGAACGUGGCUCUUCGGAGUGUUAUAGCUUCAGCUGAUACUGCCUAUCUAGACCGAGGACUGCGGCUUUCGAGCCUAGGAUGCUGGCGUAAUGAUCUAAUAUCGCCCGUCUUGAAACACGGACC
RNAcentral lists this ribosomal RNA (611 nucleotides) under uncultured fungus. Its description in RNAcentral is "eukaryotic LSU rRNA". It matches the Rfam family "Eukaryotic large subunit ribosomal RNA", at positions 38 to 667 of the family's 3401-position model. Lineage: Eukaryota; Fungi. The record is from RNAcentral.